UCAACGGCCGCGGUAUCCUAACCGCUCCGAGGUAGCGUAAUCACUUGUUCUCUAAAUCAGGACCAGUAUGAACGGCACCACGAGGGUUAUACUGUCUCCUUUUUCCAAUUAGUGAACUUAAUUUUCCCGUGAAGAAGCUGGAAUAAUUAUAUAAGACGAGAAGACCCUUUGGAGCUUUAAACAACUUAGCACCUGCACUAUAUCUUUAUAUUUCUGAAUACUUUAUCCUUGCAGGAUGACUAAAAGUUUUAGGUUGGGGUGACCGCGGAGUAGAGUAUAUCCUCCACACUGUAAGAAUCUCUUAAUCUUAAUCUUAACUAAGAGAAACACCUCUAAGUAUUAGUAUACUAACAUUUAUUGACCCAAUACAUUUGAUCAACGAACCAAGUUACCCUAGGGAUAACAGCGCAAUCCAUUUCAAGAGCCCCUAUCGCCAAAUGGGUUUACGACCUCGAUGUUGGAUCAGGAUUUCCCAGUGGU
Molecule: ribosomal RNA, 480 nt
Filed under: Amazophrynella sp. 2 RRZ-2016
Lineage: Eukaryota; Metazoa; Chordata; Amphibia; Anura; Bufonidae
Description: partial 16S ribosomal RNA
Rfam family: Bacterial large subunit ribosomal RNA
Source: RNAcentral